AUGUCCACCGACGCCGAACGUGCCGCCGCCGAGAAGGUUGAAGCCGACAAGAAGGCCGCCGAGGACGCCGCUACCGCCACCGCCGCGGCGGCUUCUGCCUGGCCUACUGGAGGGUAUAACUCGUUUAUUCCGCUCCUUUUGUUUUCUGUUUUAGCCAUGCUAGCAUUACACGUAGAUCUGUCUGCAAUUAGCGUAGUAUGUGCUUGCAUGAUUGAAUAUCAGUAUGCGAUUAUUUCUGUUAAUGCCAUGUUAGUGAUUUACUCGUGGAUUAAGUUAAUCAAAAAAUUGCCUAUUUACUCAACAAAAUAUAUCAAAAUCCAUAAUAUCAAAUCGGCAUCAUUAGAUUCAUCAUCAAAUGAAUUUCUAUAUUAUUUUUUAAUAUUAUGGAUGUCAAUAUUUUGCUUCGAACUUGAUCAAAGGUAA
This 423-nucleotide ribosomal RNA is filed under the name Triticum aestivum (bread wheat). Its description in RNAcentral is "partial small subunit ribosomal RNA". The record is from RNAcentral. Lineage: Eukaryota; Viridiplantae; Streptophyta; Magnoliopsida; Poales; Poaceae.